Molecule: transfer RNA, 75 nt
Filed under: Candidatus Omnitrophota bacterium
Lineage: Bacteria; Pseudomonadati; Candidatus Omnitrophota
Description: tRNA-Arg
Rfam family: tRNA
About the family: Transfer RNA (tRNA) molecules are approximately 80 nucleotides in length. Their secondary structure includes four short double-helical elements and three loops (D, anti-codon, and T loops).
Source: RNAcentral
GCCCCGGUAGCUCAGAUGGAUAGAGCACAGGUUUCCUAAACCUGGUGUCGCGCGUUCGACUCGCGCCCGGGGUAC